GGGUCAGUAGGUUGGUCGUGCCACCGGUACGUACUGGUCUCACUGAUUCCUCCUUCCUGAAGAACCUUAAUGCCAUUAAUUUGGUGUUGCGGGGAGACAGGACUGUUACUUUGAAAAAAUUAGAGUGUUUAAAGCAAGCUAACGCUUGAAUACAUUAGCAUGGAAUAAUGAAAUAGGACGAUCGAUCCUAUUUUGUUGGUUUCUAGGUUUGACGUA
RNAcentral lists this ribosomal RNA (216 nucleotides) under Glomeromycotina sp. Its description in RNAcentral is "partial small subunit ribosomal RNA". The stretch from base 40 to 216 matches the Rfam family "Eukaryotic small subunit ribosomal RNA", at positions 686 to 864 of the family's 1831-position model. Lineage: Eukaryota; Fungi; Glomeromycota. The record is from RNAcentral.